Molecule: transfer RNA, 74 nt
Filed under: Loxodonta africana (African savanna elephant)
Lineage: Eukaryota; Metazoa; Chordata; Mammalia; Proboscidea; Elephantidae
Rfam family: tRNA
About the family: Transfer RNA (tRNA) molecules are approximately 80 nucleotides in length. Their secondary structure includes four short double-helical elements and three loops (D, anti-codon, and T loops).
Source: Rfam by way of RNAcentral
GCAGUGGUAGUUCUAUGGUAGAAUUCUCUUUUUUUUUUAUGUGGGAGACCCAGGUUCAAUUCCUGGCCAACGUA